Molecule: ribosomal RNA, 458 nt
Filed under: uncultured bacterium
Lineage: Bacteria
Description: bacterial SSU rRNA
Rfam family: Bacterial small subunit ribosomal RNA
Source: RNAcentral
CCUACGGGAGGCAGCAGUGAGGAAUAUUGGACAAUGGAGGCAACUCUGAUCCAGCCAUGCCGCGUGCAGGAAGACUGCCCUAUGGGUUGUAAACUGCUUUUAUACAGGAAGAAACCUACCUACGUGUAGGUAUUUGACGGUACUGUACGAAUAAGGAUCGGCUAACUCCGUGCCAGCAGCCGCGGUAAUACGGAGGAUCCAAGCGUUAUCCGGAAUCAUUGGGUUUAAAGGGUCCGUAGGCGGUCUUUUAAGUCAGAGGUGAAAUCCUACAGCUCAACUGUAGAAUUGCCUUUGAUACUGAAAGACUUGAGUUAUUGUGAAGUAGUUAGAAUGUGUGGUGUAGCGGUGAAAUGCAUAGAGUUCACACAGAACACCGAUUGCGAAGGCAGAUUACUAACAAUAUACUGACGCUGAGGGACGAAAGCGUGGGUAGCGAACAGGAUUAGAUACCCUGGUAG